UAAUUUUUAUUUAUUUCCUUUUAUUGCUUUCCUAGCAAUGUUCAUCUUUUUACUAUACAACAUCCAUAACCUUAACUUUGGAAAUAAAAGAGAAUAUGUGAAAGUAUAAGUAGGAGAAAGACUUCAUUGAAAUCAAACAAAUUGGGCAACGUUAGAUUUUUCUUUAAAAUUCUCAUGAGAUAUUAAUUAGUAGUAUUAUCACUGCUGCCUGCCUAUUUCUAACCUCAACCAAUAUAUGAUCAAUGCUUGAUUUGGUCAAUCUAAAUAAUUAUGAUCGAUGAUUGGAUAUUGUUGAAGGGCGGCCCUAAGGAUGAGAGAGGGGAAUGCGUGUGCAAGCCACAUGUGUGAAGAAAAAGAAAAAGGCAAGAGUGAAGAUGACGACGAUUAAAAUCUUGUUUGAUUUCUUUUUCUGAUAAUUUUGUUAAUCUGCUGUUGUUAGUUCCAAAAUUUUAGUUAGCAACAAAAUGACAUGUUUUUGUGUUUAAUAAGGAAAAAGUAAAUAAUAUAUUUUCUAUAGGAUUCUUAGAAUGGAUUAGAUUAGACUACGGAGAGAAAUAUAUUUGAGAAUAUUAGUGUUGAGUUAUUCUAAUGUCUUUAAUAGUAAAUUCAAUUAAGACUAUUUUAGUAAUAUAUUUUUUUUAUUGAAAUUAGAGUGUUCAAAGUUAGUAAUAAAAAAUUCAAUAAUUUUUUAUUGAAUUUAUAUAACUCUGGAUUCUUUUUUUUUUUUUCCAACACUGAUAUGGUUCUGUUCUGUGUAUUUAUAUACAAUUUAAUGUUUACAUACAAAUUAAAUAAGAUCAAUUUAAUGUUUAUAUACAAUCCUUCAAGUCGUAACUCAAUUUUAUGGAGGUUUAUACAUCUGCACGCAUUCCUUGAAUUUCUCCUAGAUUGGAACUUCUUAAUUGAUCCAAUGCAUUUUUCCAACAGUCAAGAUCCUUAGUUGUCAGAGCAUUUGCAAUCGUACUCAGUGCACCAGGCAAACCUCCGCAUCUUUCAACGAUCGAGGAGUAUUUUUGUUGAAUCACCGACUAUAUUCUCAAAUAACUGCAAUGCUUCUUUUUUUGAUAACGCAUCGAUCGAGGAAUUUUUCUGAGAUUUCAUAUCAUUGCACAAUAAUAAAUCUCGACUUCUAGACGUCAAUAUUAUUUUGCAUUGUCUCUGAUCGUCAACAUCCCCGGAAGUUAAUGAACGGAAUUCUUUUAUCCUUUCUAUCUUUCUCAUCAACAUCCCCGGAAGUAACCACAUCGAACAACUUAUCUUCCCUCACUUGCUUUGCAACAUCUUGGAAUACUUUCAUUCUGGAAUCAAAGGCUACGUAAUCUUUCACUUGCACGUACUCUGUACUCUCUGGAGCAGGACGGUAGGAAACAUGAUUACAGAUGUUAAAUUCGCCUUUUUUCACAAGUUUAUCAGCUUCGUUUGCGGCCUCUGCUGCUUGUUUACCAAGCUUGUAACGAGAAAUCAAAUUUGGGCACAACCCUUUGAAGCAGAACAUCUUAGCUCUAUCUUUAUCAUCAAUGAUGGAUUUUACAACCCCUUCACUGAAUUCAGCAACUCUAUUUAGCCAGUCUCAGACACCCUUAUAAAUCUCAUCUCCUUGUAGAGUAGCCUCUCUAACCAGCGUUUUCACCCUUUCUCUUAUAUAUUCCAGCUCCUUCACUCAAUCUUUUAGCCCAUCUAUGUAGCUUUGGUAUUCGAACACAUAAGAUAUGUGCCGCAUAAUCGGUUCGAAUAAUGCUUUUGAACCUUGUGAUACAAUGCUGGAAAAAGCAGGGAGACACCCUUCAACAGCCAUUGCCUGUUGCUUAACAAUAUAUAUAUAUAAAUACAAGUGUCAAAGAAAGGAAUACAAAUAAAUUAAAAUGAACUAGAGGGAAAGAUAGAGAAUGAAAAGAUCACAAACAAUAUGGCUAUAUUGAUCUUGAACCAACUAAUAACUAAAUAGAGAAUUUCUUUUUCUUUCUUAAGGAUAAGAGGUUUUACUAUUAACAAAAAGUUAUUUUGAGGGUCUGAAUAAAAAACCAACCAUAAAUUAUCAAAAGCUAGUAAAAACACAGACAUAAAUAAUGAACAAUUACUUAAACAAAACAAACUAUGAAACAAAGAAAAUCUAAUAAAAUGACAAAGAAAGAAAGAAAGAAAAUACAACAAAAAGUAUUGAAGUAUUGAUCAUGAGCCAACUGAUAUUUAAACAGAUUUUUUUUUUAAUUUUUAGUCUUUUGCUAAAGGAUUAGAGUUUUUGCUAUUAACAGAAAUGUUUCAAAAAUCUAACACUACUAGAAAAGUAUUAAAUAAUGACAGAAAUUUGAUGACAUAUAUCGUUGUGUCACGAAUAUGUCAUAAAAAUAUGAUAGAUUCAUAAUAUAUAUUCACAUGUCCAGAAUAUAUGACAUAUUCAUGACUUAUAAUUUAACCGUCCUAGAUAAAUGAUACAUAUAAGUCAUGCUUAGGUUUUGUGAUCUUAUAAGAUUGUAAAACAGUAUUGUUUAAAUUAACGACACCGUUCUGUAUAACUUAAAACACAUCAACACUUACAGCCAAAUUUUGGCUAAGCGUUGAAUGAAUCCCCCUCUCUCCACUGGCCACUGCAACCUAAAAUGAAUGUUUAAAUUAACGACACCGUUGAAUUAAAGCAAAAGCUCAAAUUCCUUUUUUCAAUCGAAAUAAAACGUAGCCACAAAACCCUAAUUCACCACACCAAUUUAUCUCUGCUCGGUAUUCAUUUAAACCCUACCUCGCGGUUCAAUGUCAUUCAAUACGAUUGCAGAUGCCGUUUCAACUUGUCAUUUAGUUAGCGCCAUCCAGUUCCCUAUGGUAAGCCUUAACCCUAACGCUAGUAAGAUUUGCUAAAAAUUUCAUAUUUUGUAUUGUUCCAGUUGAAUUUCAUGUUAAUUUAAUUCUUCUUUGCCUUCUUUUUUCUUCUUCUUUAUAGUCACGCUCUGGCUUUGGUGCUAUGCUUAGUGCAGUUUGUGGUUUCAAGAUUAAGUCAUGUUUAUUUGAUGGCAUCGAUUCCAUCGUUGAGGAUUGGAUUGUUGAUCAAAUGCACCUAGUAAGCUCUUCUUAUUUUAUCUCAGUUUCAAUUUUCUUUUAUUAUCUGCCUCUACCUAAAAAUGGACGUGUUUUACUAGUAAGCAUAGACUUUGUUUAUUUAAUUGAUAUUUUAAUUUUAUGUAUAAGAAUGGAGGUUUAUUUUGAAAAAAAAAAAAGGAAAUUAAAAAAUAGAUUCUGUUGAAGCUAAUUAGUACUGAAUUUUUUUGGUGGUGCGACCAGAGGUGGAAACAGGGUAUGAAAAUGUGUUACUGGUGAGGUUGCUGCUUAAGAUGAGAAUGCAUUCUUUUCAAAAAUCCUUGGUAGGUGUUAUCUAAUUAUCUUUGAUGGAAUAUUAAAGGGCUAAAAAUCUGUCAUACGUUCAAACUUUGUUUGUGUUUAGAAGAAUGGUGUUGACUGUAUAUUCGUUUGGAAGAAUGGUGUUGAUUGUAUAUUCAUUUGCUUAGCCUUUUGACAGAUGGAUUGUAUAAUUGUGUUUGCCUCACUGUUUUUGUUUUAUGAGAUCUAUAAUUGAUCUUGGGAUAUUACUUUCUAGUUCUCAUGCAAGCAAGUUACUACCUUCCCACUGCAUCUCCUCCUUUAUCUGCUAUUCAAGAGAUGUGUGCCAUAAUCUGGUGUUACCUCUGCAAGAUUGUGAAUGAAUAUAAUGCCUCUAAAUUUAUUUUAUACAUAAUGCUGAUGCUGAAUAAUAUAUUGUAGCUCCUGUCAUAUUCUACUUUGACUUUUUAUAUUCUGUUUCAUAUAAAAAUCUUAUGCAACUUUAGUUGUUCAUGAGCAAAUGUCGCAUGUAUAAGCCCAAAUGAUGUUUAAAGGUAGCGCGGCUACCUUUAGCUUGAGCUUACAAUGGAUGAAAAAGAAAUUGAAACUUUUUUUCUGAUUUUUCAAAGUAUUUUAGAUCCUGACUUUUGUUUGGACUUGAUGGUUAUAGAUUGUGUCUAGAUUUGUUAAGUUGUUUCCAACACCUCGUGCCAAAUGAAAGCACAAUCUUUCUGAUUCAGAUGUCUGGUUAAUUAUGCUUCAUUUUUUCGUUAAAGAUUGGAUGGUUGCAUGGAUUGAUGGAGUUGGAGUUCAACCAAUAAUUCUAAUUUUUUGGACUUAAAAUGCCUUUUUCUUCUGUAUAAAAACUUUAGUAAGUGCUAUUGAGUUGACAGAAGUUGAAUACUUACAGGUUGUUUCACACUUUUUAAUAGUUUUACAUAUAUGAAUUUCUGUUUUUUGAAUUGCAGAAAGGAGGUGGAACUAUUGAUUUGGAGCCUUAUCUUACUCACUCAUCGACAACGGAGCCUACCCUCGCUCCCAUGGCAGUGGAACGGACAACGACUACUAGGGCUGCAACAUCAGUUGGUUUGGGUCUGUUUUGAGUUUAUUUUCAUUUAUUUGGCUAUGUUUUGAUAGCGAAUUUUGAUAUGUCAAUAUAAUGUGUAAUUGUUUUGGGUUGAGCUGGUAAUUAUGCUGGAUUAGAUUGGUUUGGUUUUGGUGCUUCUCUGAUGGAACACUGCUUCUUUUAGAAAUUUUGAAUGUAAUAUGAGACUACAUUUAGUUUAAUUGAACACUGCAUCUAGUCUAAUUACUAGAAGUGUGGCAUUUGGUUUGGUUUAUCCGAUAUUCUCCAGAAUUUCACUUGCAUCUGGUUUUGUUGCAUAUGUUUGCUUGCAUUUGAUGGCAGUAGCAGACUGUUUGGUUUUGUGACAUUUGACGGCAGUUUGGUCUGUUCUUGGUGUUGAUUUAAGAUUGCUCCUGUUGUGCUGAUGUUAAUUGCAGGUGCUGGAAUCAGCUAGGGUUGCUGGUUUAUUCAGAUAGUUGACUCAGGCGUUGUUACUGGUUAAUUCAGGUGGCUGACUCAAGUUGUUCAUUUAAUGUUAGGAAGCAAAUUAAGAAUUAAUGAAGUAUUCAUUUAACUAUAAUUAUUGUAGUUAUUUUAUUUCAUAACUGAAUUAUAAUCUAUGGUACUUGUGAACAAAUUAGAGAAUUUUUAUAUAUGAAUUAUAUAUAUGUGUGUGUAUGUACAUUUUGCUAUUUAUGUAAUAAUUUAAAGAAUAUAUUUCAAUUCCCACAAAAAAAAAUGGCUCCAAUUUCAAUAAUUCCCGCCAAAUAAUUAUUAUUUUUUAAUUUACCACCAAAAUAUAUCUUAAAGAAAUUUUAGUUAUUCUUGCUAGAUUUAACAAAAAUAAUUUGUAGGAUUAACAUUUAAUUAAAAUAAUUAAAUAAUUUUAUUAUUCCAAUUAAAAAUGUCAUGUUUAUACGAUAGACAAUAUUCAUGAAUGGGAAGUAUUAGUUACAUAUUUUUCCUUGGGAUUUCAGGCAAAUGAAAAAAAGAUUGAGAAUGAUUUCAAGAGGACAGGUGGAUGAUAAGUAUUCAUUUUUGUAUAUUUGGCUAGUGGAUUUUUAUGGUAUUGAUCUUUUUAAAAAAAAAAAAAAAAUUCAAUUAGUUGCAGCCCUAGAGGAAGAGCAGGCUGAUCAAAUUGAUUUGUCUUGUUUUUCGGGCAAUCUACGACACGAUGACUGUGAUAAUGCUCGUGACUGCUGGAAACUUUCACUUAGAAAUUAUGAGGAAAAAGUAGUAUCCUUCUUAUUUACAAUCAGUACAAGGAUCCCUUUUAAAUAGAGCAAUUAUAACAGAAAAGGAAACUAAUUAAGAGCUAAUAUUUGACAGCUAUCAUCUAUAUUUACAUAGGAAAGGAUCCUAAAAUAUCUCUAGGAUUAAGGCUAAAAUCAAGGCCUAAUUUCCAACACUCCCCCUCAAGCUGGUUUGAAGAUAUCUUCCAUAGCCAGCUUGCUAGUCAACUUAUCAAAUUGCUUCUUGUGCAAUCCCUUUGUUAAUACAUCAGCUAAAUGUUCAGUUGUUGGAAGAUAGGUCAUACAUAUUAUUCCAGUGUUGAGUUUCUCCUUGAUGAAGUGUUUAUCCACUUCUAUAUGUUUUGUUCGAUCAUGAAGAACAGGAUUAUGAGCUAUAGAAAUAGCAGCUUUGUUGUCACAAUAGACUUUCAUAGGAGUUGAGAAAGUAAAUUUCAGUUCUUCAAGAAUUCUUUUUAUCCACAUAACCUCACAGAUUCCAUGGGCAACAACUCUGAAUUCUGCUUCUGCACUACUUCUAGCAACCACAUUCUGUUUUUUACUCUGCCAUGUAACUAGGUUCCCACCAACAAAGGAACAGUAGCCAGAUGUUGAUCUCCUGUCAGUGACACUUCCUGCCCAGUCUGCAUCUGUGUAGACUUCAACUUGAAGAUGUCUAUGUUUUUUGAACAUUAGGCCCCUCCCUGGAGUUCCUUUUAGAUAUCUUAAGAUCCUGUAGACUGCCUCAAAAUGCUCUGCCCCUGGUGAGUGCAUAAACUGACUUACCAUGCUGACUGCAAAGGCGAUAUCAGGUCGCGUAUGAGACAAGUAGAUCAACUUCCCUACGAGUUUUUGAUAUUGUUCCCUAUCCUUUACUUCUUCAACCUUAGCAGGUUGUAACUUCAAGUUAGGAUCAAUUGGGCACUUUAGCCUAAAAUGAAGAUCUAUUAAAAAUUUCCCUGAUGUCAUGAUAUAAAACAAUAAAAGGUACCAACUUCAGCUUAAAUUCAUAUAAAAUUAAACCUUACCACAUACUGUAUUGAAACAAAUUACUCAUCUUUAUUGGUAACAUCAUCACCUUCAUAAAAUAUAUGGUAUCGUACAAAGUUCUUGCGCUGGGUUCGGGCAUCUAACAACGAGGACACAGCAACCUAUUCGCUAGGUUAGAGACCAAAGAGCCAACAGCAAAAUGUGCACGACGCAUGUCACUAUCAUGAAAACAACAUUCUUUUUUCUUUUUUUUUUUUCUCUCAAUAAUUUCAGAUAUAAUAUUUUAACUAAGUUUGUAACACUGUUGAUUGAAAUUAUCAAGUACGAAUGUGUGUAGAUUUUAACAUGUGCACUCAUAAUUAUUAUUGUGCAGUUUUAGACUUGGUUGGGUAUUGAGGUGCUAAAACUUUUGCCGUAAGAAAAAAAAGUUUUAAGUAUAAAAUAAAAGUUAAUAGUAUAUAAUAAAUUUAAUUUUUUUAAUAAUAAUUUUGAUAAAAUUAGAAAAGAUAUAAUAAAUUUUUUAUCAUAUAAGUGUAAAAUCAAAUCAUCUUAACUUUUAAACUACAACAACUAUAACAUUUUAACUGUUCAAUCUCAAUCCCAAAUAGACCCUUAAUUUAUAAUUAGAUUGUCACUAAAAGAUUUUAAGUAUGUAUUUUAGAAUUUAACGAAUACACUUUUAAACUACCUUUGUCAGAUGAAAUGUUGGGAAAUUUUUAUUAAGCUCCAAAAGUGUUUGAAAUAAAUUUAUGUUUUUAUGAUACCAAAAAAAAAAGAUUUAUGAACAUUUUUGUGAAGCUUAGGCGAAAAUUUUUGUUAGGCUCUAUUGGGGUAGAUGAGCAGCUCGGGCAGUUAAUUAUCGCCCAAAAAGCCCAACCCAGAUUACAACAAGCUGGGAUUUGGUUAGCUCGUUGACGGCCAUUUGGGUAUGCAUGAAUUGGGUGGAUGAUUAAUAAAUACGAUUUAUUAAUUAUUUCGCCGAUUUGAAUAUUCUCCUAAUUUAAUCUUUUCUAAUAUAUAAUAACGAGAUUUUGACAUGUGUUAUACCUGUGUUAUUUUAAUAAUCCAAUAGAUAAUAUCUACUUUAUUUUUAUCUUUCGUUAUUAAAUACAAAAACACUAAUAGAAAAAAAAAAUGACUUAACUCUUUUUAUAUUUUUAAUUUUUAUUUAUUUCCUUUUAUUGCUUUCCUAGCAAUGUUCAUCUUUUUACUCUACAACAUCCAUAACCUUAACUUUGGAAAUAAAAGAGAAUAUGCGAAAGUAUAAGUAGGAGAAAGAAUUCAUUGAAAUCAAACGAAUUGGGCAACGUUAGAUUUUUCUUUAAAAUUCUCAUGCGAUAUUAAUUAGUAGUAUUAUCGUUGCUGCCUGCCUACUUCUAACCUCAACCAAUAUAUGAUCAAUGCUUGAUUUGGUCAAUCUAAAUAAUUAUAAUUGAUGAUUGGAUAUUGUUGAAGGGCGGCCCUAAGGAUGAGAGAGGGGAAUGCGUGUGCAAGCCACAUGUGUGAAGAAAAAGAAAAAGGCAAGAGUGAAGAUGACGGCGAUUAAGAUCGUGUUUGAUUUCUUUUCCUGUUUAAUUUUAGUUAAUCUGCUGUUGUUAGUUCCAAAAUUUGAGUUAGCAACAAAAUGACAUGUUUUUGUGUUUAAUAAGGAAAAAGUAAAUAAUAGAUUUUCUAUAGGAUUCUUGGAAUGGAUUAGAUUAGACUAUGGAGAGAAAUAUAUUUGAGAAUAUUAGUGUUGAGUC
Molecule: long non-coding RNA, 8333 nt
Filed under: Citrus x clementina
Lineage: Eukaryota; Viridiplantae; Streptophyta; Magnoliopsida; Sapindales; Rutaceae
Description: Citrus clementina (C. clementina) long non-coding RNA (CCLE_LNC002766)
Source: RNAcentral